UAGCUCAGCUGGGAGAGCAUCUGCCUUACAAGCAGAGGGUCGGCGGUUCGAUCCCG
Molecule: transfer RNA, 56 nt
Filed under: Pseudomonas aeruginosa
Lineage: Bacteria; Pseudomonadati; Pseudomonadota; Gammaproteobacteria; Pseudomonadales; Pseudomonadaceae
Description: tRNA-Val
Rfam family: tRNA
About the family: Transfer RNA (tRNA) molecules are approximately 80 nucleotides in length. Their secondary structure includes four short double-helical elements and three loops (D, anti-codon, and T loops).
Source: RNAcentral